UACGUAGGGUGCGAGCGUUGUCCGGAAUUAUUGGGCGUAAAGAGCUUGUAGGCGGUUUGUCGCGUCUGCCGUGAAAUUUCGAGGCUCAACCUCGAACUUGCGGUGGGUACGGGCAGACUAGAGUGUGGUAGGGGAGACUGGAAUUCCUGGUGUAGCGGUGAAAUGCGCAGAUAUCAGGAGGAACACCCGUGGCGAAGGCGGCUCUCUGGGACGGUACUGACGCUGAGACGCGAAAGCGUGGGGAGCGAACAGG
RNAcentral lists this ribosomal RNA (253 nucleotides) under uncultured bacterium. Its description in RNAcentral is "partial 16S ribosomal RNA". It matches the Rfam family "Bacterial small subunit ribosomal RNA", at positions 524 to 776 of the family's 1533-position model. The record is from RNAcentral.